AGGUUUUCUCUUCGUUUGCAAGUAAUCUGGAGAGUAUUGUCGAUCAGAGGGUGUUAGGUCAUCUCCAUCUUCAAGCCGUGGUGUUAAUGGAGUGUUAUUUCCAAUCUGAUUAUUGUGGAUGGACACACCCUGAUGACAUGCCCAACAAGUGGAACUUAACCAGUGCUAAACCCUUUGUUAACUAUCCAGGUAGCUUUGCUUUUAUUGAUGGCCCUUACAAAGUACAAUUGGACAGUCCUUUAUUGCCAUGGCAACCGUUCCAUAGAUCCGUGGGCGUGUGUCUGCGUUUCCAUUACCUCAUGCCUUCUAAGUCGAAGCCGACUCUCAAGG
Stylophora pistillata is the source of this 330-nucleotide long non-coding RNA. NCBI's taxonomy places the organism in Eukaryota, Metazoa, Cnidaria, Anthozoa, Scleractinia, Pocilloporidae. The record is from RefSeq and is a predicted model, not a curated record.